This 262-nucleotide long non-coding RNA is filed under the name Capsicum annuum. RNAcentral describes it as "long non-coding RNA (CANN_LNC017526)". Lineage: Eukaryota; Viridiplantae; Streptophyta; Magnoliopsida; Solanales; Solanaceae. The record is from RNAcentral.
GGGAGUGACAGUGGACAUCUUAGAUCAGACUAUUAUUUGGGUUCUUUUUGGUUAGCUGUAUAUUGCUUGUAUCAUCACUCUAGAGCUUGAUCAUAGGAUGAAUACCAUAUACACCCAAAGGCCAUGGAUAGCACACAUGUUGAUAGAUAAUGGUGAGCCGACUUGGUUAAAAAACUGAAAAAGGAUUACAAAAUCCUCAUUGAGUUUCAUGGUAAAGUUUUGGUGGGCUAUGGUUAGACUUAGAUUGAUACUAAUGGUAGUG